This 497-nucleotide ribosomal RNA is filed under the name uncultured bacterium. Its description in RNAcentral is "partial 16S ribosomal RNA". It matches the Rfam family "Bacterial small subunit ribosomal RNA", at positions 28 to 507 of the family's 1533-position model. The record is from RNAcentral.
GACGAACGCUGGCGGCGUGCCUAAUACAUGCAAGUUGAGCGCUGAAGGUUGGUACUUGUACCAACUGGAUGAGCAGCGAACGGGUGAGUAACGCGUGGGGAAUCUGCCUUUGAGCGGGGGACAACAUUUGGAAACGAAUGCUAAUACCGCAUAAAAACUUUAAACACAAGUUUUAAGUUUGAAAGAUGCAAUUGCAUCACUCAAAGAUGAUCCCGCGUUGUAUUAGCUAGUUGGUGAGGUAAAGGCUCACCAAGGCGAUGAUACAUAGCCGACCUGAGAGGGGGAGCGGCCACAUUGGGACGGAGACACGGCCCAAACGCCUACGAGAGGCAGCAGUAGGGAAUCUUCGGCGAUGGACGAAAGUCUGACCGAGCAACGCCGCGUGAGUGAAGAAGGUUUUCGGAUCGUAAAACUCUGUUGGUAGAGAAGAACGUUGGUGAGAGUGGAAAGCUCAUCAAGUGACGGUAACUACCCAGAAAGGGACGGCUAACUACGUG